GGGAGGCAGCAGUGGGGAAUAUUGCACAAUGGGCGCAAGCCUGAUGCAGCCAUGCCGCGUGUGUGAAGAAGGCCUUCGGGUUGUAAAGCACUUUCAGCGGGGAGGAAGGCGGUGAGGUUAAUAACCUCAUCGAUUGACGUUACCCGCAGAAGAAGCACCGGCUAACUCCGUGCCAGCAGCCGCGGUAAUACGGAGGGUGCAAGCGUUAAUCGGAAUUACUGGGCGUAAAGCGCACGCAGGC
This 241-nucleotide ribosomal RNA is filed under the name Klebsiella pneumoniae. RNAcentral's name for it is "partial 16S ribosomal RNA". It matches the Rfam family "Bacterial small subunit ribosomal RNA", at positions 343 to 576 of the family's 1533-position model. RNAcentral also lists the same sequence under 6 other names. Lineage: Bacteria; Pseudomonadati; Pseudomonadota; Gammaproteobacteria; Enterobacterales; Enterobacteriaceae. The record is from RNAcentral.